GACAGCAGUCGCCGCGGUAAUACGAAGGGUGCAAGCGUUACUCGGAAUUACUGGGCGUAAAGCGUGCGUAGGUGGUGGUUUAAGUCCGUUGUGAAAGCCCUGGGCUCAACCUGGGAAUUGCAGUGGAUACUGGGUCACUAGAGUGUGGUAGAGGAUAGUGGAAUUUCCGGUGUAGCAGUGAAAUGCGUAGAGAUCGGAAGGAACAUCUGUGGCGAAGGCGACUAUCUGGGCCAACACUGACACUGAGGCACGAAAGCGUGGGGAGCAAACAGGAUUAGAUACCCGCGUAGUCCCUGUCUCUUAUAC
Molecule: ribosomal RNA, 306 nt
Filed under: uncultured bacterium
Lineage: Bacteria
Description: partial 16S ribosomal RNA
Rfam family: Bacterial small subunit ribosomal RNA
Source: RNAcentral